UUAAACUGAAGAGUUUGAUCCUGGCUCAGAUUGAACGCUGGCGGUAUGCUUAACACAUGCAAGUCGAACGGAAACGAUACUAGCUUGCUAGUAGGCGUCGAGUGGCGGACGGGUGAGUAACGCGUAGGAAUCUGCCUGAUAGUGGGGGAUAGCCCGAAGAAAUUCGGAUUAAUACCGCAUAAUCUAUUCGUAGUAAAGUGGGGGACUUUCGAGCCUCACGCUAUCAGAUGAGCCUGCGUAAGAUUAGCUAGUUGGUAGGGUAAAAGCCUACCAAGGCAACGAUCUUUAGCUGGUCUGAGAGGAUGAUCAGCCACAUCGGGACUGAGACACGGCCCGAACUCCUACGGGAGGCAGCAGUGGGGAAUAUUGGACAAUGGGGGCAACCCUGAUCCAGCAAUACCGCGUGUGUGAAGAAGGCCUGAGGGUUGUAAAGCACUUUCAAUUGUGAAGAAAAGUUAACGGUUAAUAACCGUUAGCCUUGACGUUAACUUUAGAAGAAGCACCGGCUAACUCCGUGCCAGCAGCCGCGGUAAUACGGAGGGUGCAAGCGUUAAUCGGAAUUACUGGGCGUAAAGCGUGCGUAGGCGGUUUAUUAAGUCAGAUGUGAAAGCCCCGGGCUUAACCUGGGAACUGCAUUUGAAACUGGUCAACUAGAGUAUGGUAGAGGAAAGUGGAAUUUCUGGUGUAGCGGUGAAAUGCGUAGAUAUCAGAAGGAACAUCAAUGGCGAAGGCAGCUUUCUGGACCAAUACUGACGCUGAGGUACGAAAGCGUGGGUAGCAAACAGGAUUAGAUACCCUGGUAGUCCACGCCGUAAACGAUGAUAACUAGCCGUUGGGGGGAUUUACCCUUUAGUGGCGAAGCUAACGCGUUAAGUUAUCCGCCUGGGGAGUACGGCCGCAAGGUUAAAACUCAAAGGAAUUGACGGGGACCCGCACAAGCGGUGGAGCAUGUGGUUUAAUUCGAUGCAACGCGAAGAACCUUACCUGGUCUUGACAUCCUGCGAACUUUCUAGAAAUAGAUUGGUGCCUUCGGGAACGCAGUGACAGGUGCUGCAUGGCUGUCGUCAGCUCGUGUCGUGAGAUGUUGGGUUAAGUCCCGUAACGAGCGCAACCCCUAUCCUUAUUUGCCAGCACGUCAUGGUGGGAACUAUAAGGAGACUGCCGGUGAUAAACCGGAGGAAGGCGGGGACGACGUCAAGUCAUCAUGGCCCUUACGACCAGGGCUACACACGUGCUACAAUGGGAAGGACAAAGAGCCGCGAAGCCGCGAGGUGUAGCUAAUCUCAGAAACCUUUUCGUAGUCCGGAUUGGAGUCUGCAACUCGACUCCAUGAAGUCGGAAUCGCUAGUAAUCGUAGAUCAGAAUGCUACGGUGAAUACGUUCCCGGGUCUUGUACACACCGCCCGUCAUACCAUGGGAGUGGGUUGCACCAGAAGUGGCUAGUCUAACUUAGUGAGGACGGUCACCACGGUGUGAUUCAUGACUGGGGUAAAGUCGUAACAAGGUAGCCCUACCGGAAGGUGGGGCUGGAUCACCUCCUUA
Molecule: ribosomal RNA, 1542 nt
Filed under: uncultured marine bacterium 578
Lineage: Bacteria
Description: 16S ribosomal RNA
Rfam family: Bacterial small subunit ribosomal RNA
Source: RNAcentral